UCAGAUUGUAUGGGACCUCACUGAAUCCAACAACAGAAAAACAUGAAUCCCAUGAAACUUUUGUGUAUUGAUCGAUUAAGUUUAUGUCCACUCAUGCCAGUGACAAUCGAAAACAUCAGGAACUUCUUUAAGGAAUAUUGUAGUUUAUUUGUCUGAUCAAGAGAGAAUAGUGGAGAAGAAGGUACCGGAGAGCACUGGUUGGAUGCUGUUCAAAAGUAUGGAAAUAGCCAGAAGAGGUGACAAAUCAGCCACGGCAUUGGCGACCUCAUUGUUCUCUGUGAAAAGAUAAGCGACACGCCCCUUGAAGAAGAGGAAGAACACAAAGAGAACAAAUCCAAUGGCGAACGAUGUGAGCACCGUAAUCUUGAUUGAGAACUUUGCUGCUCUUGAGCUCCCUCUUCCUAGUUCAUUAGAUACUCGAACGCUGGAAAAGCAUACAGACUUCAGAAACUUGCUAGUAAAGUGUGUGUCCAAAGUGAGAAUUAAUGGUCGAUAGGAGUCUUGACUCGUGAUUAUACCUUGCAGCAGCCAAGAAACCAAAAGAGAUCAUAAUCUCCCAACCACUGAUGUUGAGGCUGCAAGUAAAAAAAUUAUACUAUUUCAUCUCAGCGAAGUAGCCUUGGCUGAAGAAAUUUGUGUAAUCAAGGCAUUUCCCAAAUGUAAUGGAAAACAUCUAAGAGCAGAAAGAGCGGAAGUGCAAACACAAUUACCAGAUGGCGAGCGCAUCGAUAGAAACCUCUGCAUUUUCCAUGUUGCCUGUUAGAAGAACCAACACUGUGUUGUACCACAGCUCCAGACUGACAAUUAGCGAAGAAUAGGAAUUCAGUGAAAAUCUUGAAUGAAAAGAAAGGAUGCGCCACUAUUCACUUCUGAUGUGAGAUUUCAGGAAUCAGAUUUCUCCAUUUAUUCGAGAACAAAAGAUCGUCAAUUUCUAAAUUACCCAUCGGGCACAUAGAUACCAAAUGGUUAGGCCAACUAAACUAAUGCUGAUCCACCCAGAAACUUAUCAAUUAGUCUGAAUUCAAGAAUGAAAUCUCAUGUCUCGGCGAUGAAUGCUGACUUACCAUAGCAUGACGCCAGAUGAAAGCGAGAGCUUGAUCACUGGCCACAAGUCCUUGAAGGCCGAACUCGAGAAACCCUUCCAUGUAUCUCGGCAACCUCCGCACAUCACGAACAUUAGUUGUCCUAUAUUAGGAAUCCAAUAUGCCAAAACGGUGGAAGCCAUAGCGCCUAUAAUUCCUAACUUGUAUUUUGCAGUCAAUAGCCAUGAGAGGCAUAGAUGAACCACUGCCGAGAAUACCGCUACGUAUGCAAUGAUCAUGUUCUUACUUUGCGCUUGGAGAAACAUUUGGCAGGAGAAAGAUACGACCAAGGAAAAGAGGACCGGGAUCAACCAGGGCGAGAUGUCUCCAGCGACCUCCGCAAUUUUAUUUUCCUGGCCUAAGGCCUUUAAAAUUGGCGGGGUGAAGAUGAACAGCGGAACUUGAAAGAUGGAGCAGAUUGUUAGGACAAUCCAUGAUCUCUGGAGGUACACACCGAGCAUGUGGUAUUGUUUCGCACCAUAGGCCUGGCCACAUAGGGUCUCUAGCGCGCUUGCCAUACCCAGCUGCGAGUUCCACGAACAGAAGCUGUUGUAACUCAUUUUAAAACUCAAAUUUCUGGACAGCAUCAAGCGAACUACAUGACGAAAGGUUCCUGUGACUGGUAAAAGAGAUGCAGGGAGAUGUUUUUGGCGAAUUCACUUAUAAGUCUUGUAGGUCAUGCUCUUUUUCGACUAUAGCAUAGUAUUGUUUCGUUCGACGCCAAAGCCACAACGCAAAUGACCUAGGUUCAAUUCCAAACUCAUUUUGCUUGUUGCUCUUUCGAUUUCUAUAUGCCUUGUUCUCAUCACUGGCUUCAACAUAUUCAGAAAGUCAACCAAAGCUGACGAGCUGCUUCCAUGAGAAGCCAGUACCGGUAUAGUGCUUCGGGGCGGCUAUUCUAUGUUUGAGCAUUAUUACUUAAGGGACAUGAGACUGCUUUACGAAAAACAAUUUCAUUCAUUAUUCACUGUUGGGCUCAGCGACUCGUGCUUAAGAAGCAUCUAUAAACAAUACAUAAAGAGAUAAAAAAGCAAUUUUUUGCAAAUUAAAAAUGUUGACGUAAGAUGAACAACAGCGAGAUACCAUAUUACAUGAUUAUAUUAUAUCAAAAAAUUGACACCAAAAUAAUGGAAUACACGCUUAAACAUACCAGGAUGCCGUAUGCGAAUCUCGUUAGGACAGUGAAGACUAGAGAAUAGGCAGCCAAUUCGGUAGACCCGAUAUGGCCGACAAAAGCUUGGGUGAUGACAUAAAUACCAAAGGUGGAGAGUCUGGUGAAUAUUGCAGGCACUGCGACAAUCCACAUCUUCUUGGUCUCACUCCAUAUCCUGUCCUUCAGCGGCUCAUCCUCACCGCCAUCACUGACUUCCGCUGCUACUGAUUUUUUCAGCAGCUUCUGGUUUGCCUCUCCCUCCAUUGCCAUGGCUAGUUUUUAGAUCUAAUGUUCACCUUAUAUACCCAAGACAACGUCUCCUACUCCUGUAAACUACAAACACAGUUUGAAUCAAAUUAGGCAGUGAGGGAGUGGAUUUCUAGUGAAAGAGUUGCUUCUGGUGUAGAUAUGCCAAGAAUCAUGGCUUGUGACGAUGAGAACUGGCAAUAAAUCAGUUAAUAGUGAUGUUUGUGCGCUCACAUCGCAUGUUCAGAGUUGCAGGGCGCAUCUCUGCUGUGAUAACUAGACUCUCUUAGCUUGGUUCAGUCAAAAAAAUGAAAAAGAAAAAGAAAAGAAUAAGACCCUCUUAGCUUGGACAAAGCAAACGUACUUAUAAAGAAGUAAUAGCACUCAAAACUCGAACUGCAGAUACACCAACAGUCAAGAGUCAAGAUCUAAAAAUGGCAUGAAUAAGACAAACCUGUACAAUUAUUUCCAGCUCAAUAUAUCAACCAAUCAUCACCAAAAUUUGGUAUGGGAAAUAACAUGAUUGAUGGCACUUCCUUCUUUUGCUCAUGUCGAGAGACGCACGCACUAGAAAUUUAUCAAUGCAGUGUGGCCAUGUCAUUCUUAUAAAUGCAAAGUUGUUUUGCGCGAACCUAAAGCCAAGCUUUUCCAACAGUUAUGCCUCAGAUUUGACUAUUCUACAAAGUGGCAGAGCGAGAGUUGUAUUAUUUUUCAUUUGUUGGCAUGUUCAUAUGUGUAGUGGCCUGAAGGCAUCAGGAAUCUUGAUCGGCCCCACGACAACAACCAUGUCCUCGAUUGUCUCUUUGUCCAUCAUAUAUCAAAUGGUUCCCAUCAGUCACUCCACUGUUUUCUCUUGGCUUCACAUACAUGAAUUCUGAAGCAGAAACGUGAUGAAUUUGUUCAUUAUAAAAAAAUCUCCCUCUCUUGUCCUCUCUAGUUGAACGAUUAUGACGACAAACGUCAUUGUAACGAUCCAAUCCAAUGAUGGGCAGGGAGUGGCCGUCAGUGCUAGAAGAGUCUGGACAAGAAGUGGCUCUUGAUAGACUUCUAGGAUGGUGAAGAGUGGUAGGAAUACUAGACUAUGUAUCGAACAUGAAGGAGCAAUUAUGGAAUAUAUAUGUGAAAACCUAAAUUAAUUACGGAGGUGUCUUUUGAUGUAAUAACAAUCUUUCGUUUGAUUACCAGGAUGGGCGACCUUCUGGGAAACCUUAUGGGAAAGUGCCUACCUAUAGGCCAAAAGACAAAAUCGUGAGGCUUCGUUGGUUCACAUCCUUUCUAUAUGCAAUUUAUAUUCUUGCUUCCAACCUGCCACAUUUGAAUACUACACGAUGUUGCAUAUGCCGACUGAGGAUGUGGGUUUUUUCCCUUUUGGUUGUAAAACGGACCAGAUCUUUGCAAAUAUAUCGGGACACACGAUUGUCGUCUUUUACAGCAAUGAAGAAGAGAAGUCUCCCUCAACUUGUGCAGCUCGUAGCCCCACUCCUUAUUUAAUGUUGCAGCUGCGCGUGCAGGAAAAACCAAGGCAGCUCCUCCUGAUGCAGCCAGCGCAUGGAGAAAAGUUGAAGAUUCCAUUUCCCUCUAGUUUAAAAAAAAAACAAAAAGAAGAAAAAAAGAAGAAGAAAAAAGGUGCCGUCUCGUUUGUCUUUAACAGAAGAGAACAAAUCUCUCCCAUAUGAGAUCCAUGUCCAGCCUAUAAUAAUUGCAGCUCAUGCGCCUCCGAACAUUAAACUAUUUUAGAUCUGGUAACGCUGGAUGGAUGGAUCAAAUUUGAGACACAAUUUAACACUUUUGGUCCAAGAGCUGCUUGAAGAGCUAUUUAAAAAUUAGAGGGAGAAAAUACUAUAUUGAGGCAUGGACAAAACUCGCCGGUAUAAAAGAAUCCGUUUAUGUUUGAUGUCUCUUUGAUCAAGUCAAGCUUCGCAUCUUAUAAAGAGUUAGAGCCAAAAAUAUUGGUCAACUCGAUUGUCCUUUUAUAGUUCAAUAUUAACCAUGUAUAGAUUACAAUUUAACCCUAAGCCUUUCAAUUGUUCUAAUAUAAUCUUAAACUUUGAGGAAAAUUUCAAUGUAGUCCUCCUAACAUAAAUUUACAUGAAAUUGCUGAUGUGGCAGUUUAGUCAUCCUUGACCAUCCUUGUGGCACCUCAAAGAUAUGAUGUGGACAAAAAAUGUUGUUUUGCUUAAUUUUUAGAAUUUUCAAAUUUAUUUUUGUUUUUCCUUUUCUUUUAUUUUCUUAUGGUUACUACUCAUAUUUUUCUUUUCAAGAGAUCCUCUUCAACAUCUGAGAAUGCCAAUCCGGAAUUGAGAACACCGGUCGUCAACCUUUUGAGAACAAUGAUGUGCUCGGAGCUUCUAGUUCAGCUUGAAUUCGAGAAGCAUUGGACGAUAUCAUCUUGGCCCUAAUCGAUGGCAUGGUGAAGCAAUGUCUAGCUGUGCUCUUGUCAACUGAAUCCUAGGGCUCCCAAUAUGGGUCGCUCCGCUCUAGCACCUCCCUAAUCUCUUUAAUCGAACCCUCGGCAACAAGUCGAACCAUUUGGGCCUUAAGCUCCAUGCCACGGUAAAGGUCAAGUCGCUAGAUUUGGGGCUUGAGCUCAAUGCUGUGAUGGAGCUCAAGCUUGUUAGAAAAAAUUGCACAAUCAUAAAGAAAAUAGAUAGUAACAGCAAGAAAGAGGAUUUGAGACGCAAGGUUUUGUUCUGGCUCACCUUUAAACUAGCCUACGUCAAGAGCCGAGAAUUCUAUGAACUUCUUUGUUGCAUUCCUCAAUUACAAGAAAAAUAUAAUAUAUAAUUAUAUUCAGUAGCUAUUCAGCGAGACCCUCGUGCUUUGACAGGAAGUGUGGACCACACCCCAACAUAAUCACCAAUCAAUUGUAUGGCAAUUUGAUACCCAUCUUGUUAAAUUGACAACUUGAUACACAUCUUGACAGUUCCUUUGAUGGGAAUUGAGAUUUGUAAAUCUGAUACAGAACUUUUCGCUAUCUUCAAAAGAAGAACGGGAGAACGAGAAAAAGAUUGAAUCAAGCACCCGUGCUGGUAUUGUGUGAUGCUUCUUCAGCCACAAACAAUUGAUUAACGCGUUUUCGAGCUAGGAGUACCUGCAGAAGGACAUCGAGACUUGUCAAAAUAAUCAGGAAUUAAUGGAAAAUAAUAAUAUCCGGCACACCUGCUUAUCCCAAUCAGUUUUGUAGGUAAUAACGAUCAGUACUACAGUCUGAACGAAAGUUCUGAACAGCAUUCCGAUCCACACGCCCUACAAGACAGGUGAUUGAGUGCUAGGAAUUUCAAUUUUGUAGGUGCAGGUUAAAAGCUUCAGCCCAUUUUGACAUGCCUCACUAAUUGACAUGCAAAUUUGCCAAUGCAGACCGUCUUAGAAAGGAAAUUAGCAGCUGACCUUCACUUGCAUACUAAAGAAAUAAGCAAACGCAACUCCCACGGGAAUCCCUAUUAGGUAAUAGCUUAUGAUGUUGACAUAGGCUACUAUGCUCUGCCAACCAGCUCCAACGGCGACUCCUGAUAAAUAUAUGUCAAUACUAAUGUUCAAUCACAAUCAGGUACUAAUGAUUCGAUAUUAAUUCAUCACUUAUUGCUCACAUCAUACAAUAGAUCGCCAUAUUUCUCAGAUUGUAUGGGACCUCACUGAAUCCCACAACAGAAAAACAUGAAUCCCAUGAAAUUUUUGUGUAUUGAUCGAUUAAUUUUAUGUCCACUCAUGCCAGUGACAAUCGAAAACCAUCUGGAACUUCUUCAAGAAUAUUGUAGUUUUAUUUGUCUGAUCAUGAGAGAAUAGUGGAGAAGAAGGUACCGGAAAGCACUGGUUGGAUGCUGUUCAAAAGUAGGGAAUUAGCCAGUAGAGGUGACAAAUCAGCCACG
RNAcentral lists this long non-coding RNA (6347 nucleotides) under Eucalyptus grandis. RNAcentral's name for it is "long non-coding RNA (EGRA_LNC003495)". Lineage: Eukaryota; Viridiplantae; Streptophyta; Magnoliopsida; Myrtales; Myrtaceae. The record is from RNAcentral.